Molecule: long non-coding RNA, 511 nt
Organism: Fundulus heteroclitus (mummichog)
Lineage: Eukaryota; Metazoa; Chordata; Actinopteri; Cyprinodontiformes; Fundulidae
Exons: 2
Source: RefSeq, a predicted model, not a curated record
AAACAGCUGGACUCUGCCUGUACGUCUUUGACUCAAGUCACUCUGUUUGACACGUAAACUGCUGCAAAACAUGGCCACCAACAUGCCGCAGGAAUUUGAAUACACUGAUGGUGCUUUAGAAGCACAAAAACAAAGAGAACGGGCCCAACAAAUGAAAGAGAACCCAGAAACUCUUUAUACAUGUGAAAACGUUCUCAUGUUUCACGCUGAAGAUCCAGAAAUCUGGAUAGAGAGUUUAACAGAGGAAUUUGGAAGAAACCCUAAAAUAACUGACAAGGAGCAUAUAUGGAAAACAAACGAUGCAGGCACCAUUCAGUUAUUUCCUACGACCGGGAAGUGUGUGAUAUAUGGGAAGGAUGAAGAAAGACAAGGAUUUUCAAACAGGUUUGGAGCGCUUUUGGAUCGUGUUGGAAACAUCCGGAAUCGAACAAAUAACACAAAUUAGACAACAAGUUGAAAGCCAGUGACGACAAAAACAACCCCCCUUAAGAUAAUUGUAGAGAUAAAAAAA